RNAcentral lists this long non-coding RNA (482 nucleotides) under Monodelphis domestica (gray short-tailed opossum). Its description in RNAcentral is "lncRNA (ENSMODG00000040193.1)". Lineage: Eukaryota; Metazoa; Chordata; Mammalia; Didelphimorphia; Didelphidae. The record is from RNAcentral.
AUGAAAAGAGAGAGGGCAGAGAGUGAAGAAGAGUUCAGGAGGGCUCCCUGGAGGAGGGAGCCUGGAGUGCCAGGGAUGGCCUUGGAGAGGGACAGACUGCCAGGCCAGAAAUCUGGUCCCUGGGUCAAAGCUGUCCCACUCCUCUCAAGUGCCACACUAGACACCUCCACCCCCACUACAAGUUGCAGCCCUCCCUCUACUCAGGACAAGCAGACUGCAGGCACCAAGUUUCUCUGUCCUCAGGGUGAGUCCUCAUCUCCCUUUUCCAAUGAGAACAUUCAUCAUUGGAACCCCUUUCCACUUCAAGGUAGGGCCUCCAUCCUUUAUCCAUCUCCUCAGGAUUUGCUUUCUCCUCUGUACCUCCUCCCCUGUAUGCUCUUCUAUUUCUGAGACUAUAGAGACAACCCCUCAGGCCUCCUCCUCUCAGUCCUGUCUGCAGCCUUUGAUGCUUCUGGCUCACUCUCUCCUCCUUGAUAGUCUCU